UGUCUAGGGGCUCAAACCUAAAGAACCCAAAUAUCUAAACGGAGAAAUUCAAUACUACCGUUAAACGUAGUGUGCACUUUUCUCUUAGUAAGACGCCGUGAUCCAUUAGAAAUUGAUACAUACAAAAUGUAUAUUGGGUCAUCAAUAGGCUAGUAUGAAGUUUAUUGGAACAAAUGGCAUGGUCUUUUACGGCCGUGUGUAUUGUCUGGUAAGCAUAUUAUGUCCUGUAAUGACUGUCUGAUGGAUUUUAAAGAUGAUAUUAUUGAUAUUACGGUAUCACUUGUAAUGAGAAUUGAUAUCUAUCUGAUCAACGGCGGUUAAAUUUGGGAUACCUUUUGGACCCGUCUUGAAACACGGACCAAGGAGUCUAUCUAGUAUGCGAGUAAAUGGAUAAUUAAUGAAAUCUAUUUGCAUAAUAAACUUGACUGUUUUUAUGGGAUUACGAGAAUGAAUACUAUGUGUUUAUCUCUUCCAUCCCGGGGUAUUUUCAUCAACAUAUGCUUGCAUAUGGAAAAUAUACCAUGAGCACACUGGAUACGACCCGAAAGAUGGUGAACUAUGCCUGAUCAGGUCGAAGUCAGGGGAAACCCUGAUGGAGGACCGAAGCAGUUCUGACGUGCAAAUCGAUUGUCAGAAUUGGGCAUAGGGGCGAAAGACCAAUCGAACCAUC
RNAcentral lists this ribosomal RNA (670 nucleotides) under Glyptotendipes sp. 1SC. Its description in RNAcentral is "partial 28S ribosomal RNA". It matches the Rfam family "Eukaryotic large subunit ribosomal RNA", at positions 386 to 944 of the family's 3401-position model. The record is from RNAcentral. Lineage: Eukaryota; Metazoa; Arthropoda; Insecta; Diptera; Chironomidae.